GUGGGGAAUAUUGGACAAUGGGCGAAAGCCUGAUCCAGCCAUGCCGCGUGUGUGAAGAAGGUCUUCGGAUUGUAAAGCACUUUAAGUUGGGAGGAAGGGCAGUAAGUUAAUACCUUGCUGUUUUGACGUUACCAACAGAAUAAGCACCGGCUAACUUCGUGCCAGCAGCCGCGGUAAUACGUAGGGUGCGAGCGUUAAUCGGAAUUACUGGGCGUAAAGCGCGCGUAGGUGGUUUUGUAAGUUGGAGGUGAAAUCCCCGGGCUCAACCUGGGAACUGCCUCCAAAACUGCAUGACUAGAGUACGGUAGAGGGUAGUGGAAUUUCCUGUGUAGCGGUGAAAUGCGUAGAUAUAGGAAGGAACACCAGUGGCGAAGGCGACUACCUGGACUGAUACUGACACUGAGGUGCGAAAGCGUGGGGAGCAAACAGGAUUAGAUACCCGAGUAGUCC
RNAcentral lists this ribosomal RNA (450 nucleotides) under uncultured bacterium. RNAcentral's name for it is "partial 16S ribosomal RNA". It matches the Rfam family "Bacterial small subunit ribosomal RNA", at positions 354 to 796 of the family's 1533-position model. The record is from RNAcentral.